CUGCAUUUCAGUUACUUACAUUGGGAAUGUUUUCCACAAUUUCGCUUUUUGAAACACUCUUAUGUAUGCUGGAAGAGGCAGCUGUCCUCUCCAGUUCAUUUCUCUCUUGCUACUAGUCACAUUUGUUUAUAGUGGAUUCCAUACCACCACACUUAGGCAUUCAGACCACUCCACUGAUAGAUUUAGAGCUGAAAACCCUGUAAGUUCUCAGAUUGUAUGAUCUUCACAGAGUGCGUGCAGUCAGUGUUGGCUGCUGAGUGGGUAAAACAAGCAAGCAUCCUGGGCUGUCAUGAAGGAAUCUCUGUUCUACGAUGUCAUAUUUAUGAGCAGACUAACAGGACACUGCCUAGCUCGCUUAUUCUUACAUCCUGAGUUUCUUAAGUUGUAUCUAGUGCUUACUAAUUUUUUAAACCUAAAUCUUUUACAAAACACUCCUCCAAUUAAACUCAUAUUAAAAAAAAUUUUUUUUAAUCUGCUCGUUUUAGAAAUCUGUGGUUUGUAGCCAAGUGUAGUGGAACAUGUUUAAUCCCAGCACUGGGUAGACAGAAGUAAGCAGAUCUCUGUGGGUUUGAGGCCAGCCUGGUCUACAGUGAGUUCCAGGACAGCAGAGCAAUAUAGAAAAACCUCAUCUCAGAAAGCAAAGAGAGACGUUUGUGGCUUAGUACAGACCCCUUCCAUCAGAGUAAUACCACACAGCUUAGAUACCACAACUUCUAGAUGAUUCCUUACCUCUAAAAAGGUUCUGAUGCUGUUUCUUGACACUGCUGAGGCUUUUAAUCCAUGCCUUGCUGUCUCCUCUACCUGAAGGUAUUUUCUUUUCUUUUUUUUUUUUUUUUUUUUCUUUUUUUCGGAGCUGGGGACUGAACCCAGGGCCUUGCGCUUCCUAGGCAAGCGCUCUACCACUGAGCUAAAUCCCAACCCCGGUAUUUUCUUUUCUUAAUAAGCUAUACACAUCCUUCAUGUCCCAGCUUCAAGAUCAUGUCUCUGAUAGCCCUGGGCAAAGUAGUCAUUCUCUUCAGUGUUUUUCUAGCAACAGGUAACCUCUUUUUAAAAAAUAAAAACAAGACCUUCCCCUCAGAGUUUUUAGAAGGAAAGACCAGCUUCUUCAUCUCUAGGUCCCAAAUAUCCUUUUGAGUUUGAUAGACAUUUAAAACCAGAUAUUGAAUAUUCACUGUAUAUCUUGAAUUCGUUGCGAGGUGUACGACAUGAAGAAAUGUAGACAUUGCUAACUGAAUGACUAAGUCUGACCUCUGAGAUCCUUGUUUUCUCUGCCCUGAGUGCUGUUCUGCAGCUUACUCUCUUCACAUUUUUGCCUUGCUAUCACACUGCAGAUCUUACAAGGGCUGUCUGGGCUGCUCUUUCCCCAUGAACUAUCUAACGUGUGUAUGGUGUCUAGAAAUGCCACCAUUUCCAUCUCACCGAAGCUAACAUAAAUAGGAGAGGUGUUCUCUGAAUCAUUCUCAAAGAUUUCUCAGCCUUAGGAUAAACCAUGGUAAUAAUAAUAGUUUUGAAAUAGAUUAUCUUUGUAAAAUUGCUGGUUUAGUAGCUCAGUUCUUACUGUGCUCUGGUCAGGAAGUUAUGUAUUUGGACAGCUAGGAGAAUAAAUGAUACUGUUUUUACAAAAAGACCCAGUGAUAGUGAAAUGUGUUUAACCUUGAUUGUGUUGUGUGCACUAGUGUUCAGUGUGGACUACAGUGAUGAACUGGAUAUUUUGGUGAGUGGCUCUGCGGACUUCGCUGUGAAAGUAUGGGCUUUAUCUGCUGGGACAUGCCUGAACACACUCACUGGGCACACAGAAUGGGUCACCAAGGUAGGAAGACCAAGGAGUAUCUCUGCUGCCAGGCUCCUCACUGGUGGGGAAUGGAGGAUGGUAAACCUGUAUAUAUUGUUGAUAAAUUAUUACAGAAUAGAUUCAUUCACUGAGCAUGGUGGUAUACAACAGUGGCCAGAAAGUAAAAGCCACUUUUAUCUGGGUGUAGUGGUACAUGUCUGUAAUCCUGACACUUAAAAGGCAAAGGCAGAAAUGCCAGGAGUACAAGGCCAGCCCUGGGCUACAUAAAGAUGCCCUCAGAUUCAGAACUGUUGGUUUUUGUUUCAGAAAAGUAAGUGUUUCAAGAUAGAGAAAUAGCUCAGUGGUGGAUUGCUUGCCUAGCAUGAGGCUCUGGGUUUGAUUCUUAGGACUACAAACAGACACACACAUGCGUGCACACCUCCCCCCAAAACGAUGACUAAACAAAACCCC
Molecule: long non-coding RNA, 2242 nt
Filed under: Rattus norvegicus (Norway rat)
Lineage: Eukaryota; Metazoa; Chordata; Mammalia; Rodentia; Muridae
Description: long non-coding RNA NONRATT019219
Source: RNAcentral